UCGUGACCUCAGGUGAUCCACCUGCCUUGGCCUCCCAAAGUGCUGGGAUUACAGAUGUGAGCCACUGCAUCUGGCCAAGGUCAUCUAUCUCUAAUCAGGAAAUAACUAUAUACCUUUGACUUAAAAAAAUAUGUAUUUAAAAUUCUAUCUAAAUAAUCUGUGCAAUCAAUUUUUAUCUUAACUGCAUUUUUUUUAGUCCAAGCCACCCUAAGAAUUUUCUGGAAUGAAAUAUUACUAUAAUACUGUAAAACACGCUGAUAAAAUGGGAUAUAUUUCCAUUGUAAUGAUAUUUUUAAGUUGAUCCAAUCUUAAGAAUGUACAUUACUUCAAGAACUUGUUUUAUUUAUUCUUUCUUUCAAAUAACAAAUUGCUCCAUGCCAAGGAUACUGUGAAUCAGAUCCUACUUUUUUAUAUAGGAUAUAUUAUAUCCCAUAUAUUAUAAUGUGGUGGCUGUUCAGCACUUUCAUUUGUGUUUCUAGUUUAACAUUUUCUUUAAAUACAUUUCAUUUGCUCAUUCCAAUACAGUUUGAUUACUUCUGUUUCAGUAGUAUUCAUUGAUCAUCUACUAUGUCCUAGACCCUAGUUAUAAAGUGAUUCUAAAUGUAAACUUGGUCUUUGCAUUAAUUUUUGCUCACUGAGAAAAUUCUAAGCUAUUGUUACUUCACCCCUUCUUAAAAAUUCAUACAAUAUUUUUCAUGAGUCUGCAUUACUUGAGGACUUAUAUAACUACCUUCUCCCCCUUACUUUGCCCAUUAGAGCAUUCAUGUACCUUUAGAAUCCAUUUCUGCUUUUCUCUUUGCUAAACUCUCAAUUCUGGCUCUUUUCCAAUGUUCUAAGGUUCCUGUGUAUUCACCCAUUAAUGGUUUAUAUGUGAAUGACUUAGUUUCUAUCAGGCUCUGUUUAUGGUCUCCCAGCUCGAUUCUCAUGUUCAUUACUUAUUUGAUACUCUGGGAUGGAAAUAUUUGAUAAAUAAUGAGAAAACUGUUUGAUUGGGUCACAUACACAGAUCCUAGGACUGACUACGUUAAGUGUUAGAUGGCUCCUCUCAGUAAGGGAACAUGGGUGAUAGAGACCACUAAGGUCAUUGUUUGCAUGAAGGCUGGAGAGAAGAAUUCUAAAGCUAGAGAGAAUAUUUUGGAAUAUUCCAGUGAAAUUCUUUCAUUGUGCACUUCAGGAAUCUGAGGGCUAGAGCAAUGAUAUAUCCAGUCAAAAACAGCCUCCAGCUCAGAGGAAAUGCUUUGUGUUAGAUUCUAUUUUUCGUUGUACAUAAUUUCCUUAAAGGCUCACUUAGGAAUGAUUUGGAACAUUUGACAGGAGAUUUGAAUUGAUGGGCACAAAGCCCUCGUAUUUAGUUAUAGUAUAGAGUCAAAAUUUUUAAAUGUCAAAAUAUUUUAAUGAGCUGUGUUAACAUCUAUCUUUCCUAGUAGCUUUUUCCAGUAGAGAGGACAAAUAUCCUUCUCUCUACCCAUCCAAUGUUGAUGACUUAACUACUUAUAACAAAAGAUGAAUUAUAAUGAGAAAAACAUACAAAUUUAUUUAGUUUUACAUGAUAUGGAAGUAAAUGAUUAAUUCCAUAUAUUUUUAUGGUAGCUUUGAUGAAGAGUGGAUACUGAUGGAGAAAUACGAUAGGACAAAAGGGGUGUGAUCUAGUGGAGAUAAACGGGGGAAUUUAGCAAUGCCUGUUUUUCAGGUCCUCUCUGUGACCCUUCAUCUUCAGAGAUGAGCAUGUUCCUUUCCUCCAGGGAUCAGGAGACCCUCACAUGAGUGUCUUCUGACCUGCUUCUUGGAAAUGUUGGAAAAGCUUUCCUAAGCUGUAUGCCCUGGGGGGAGAAGCAUAUGUGUGGGUGAGGAGGGGAGGUCAGAGAGACUUUCCUGCUUGUUUUUUUAAGAUGCCAAGGUAUUGUAUUUUGAGGAGUGUGUCCUGAAUCAUAUCAUCCUUUUCAGUGUGACUUUCCUUUAAACACAGUGUUCUAGGAUAGGGGUUAGCAAAUGACUUCUAUAAAAACAUCAGAUAGUAACCAUCUUUGUCUUGGCAGCCCAUACGGUCCCUGCUGCAACUACUCAACUCUGCUGUUGUGGCACAAAAGCAGUAGUACAGAAAACAUAGACCAAGAAGAGUGACUGUGAUUCAAUAAAACAUUAUUUGUAGAUACUAAAAUUUGAAUAUCCCAUAAUUUUCACACAUUAUUUUACUUAUUUUUUCCAACCAUUGAAAAUAAUAAUAACUUAGCUCACUAGUUCAACAGAAACAGGUGGAUUUGGCCUGUUGCUGUACUUUCUAAACCCUUGUUCUAUGACAUUACAGUCACACAGACAAACCAAAACCAAAACAAAAUAAUAAAAAAUGCAUUUUUCUGGCAAUACAAAGACAUAUCUUAAAAUAUUCGAAGUCAAACAAAAUGGACAGUUUCUGACAUUGCUUAUAGAACAUUGUUUGUCAACCUGCAGGGAUUUGAAAUAAUGAAUAGUAAAAAAAAAAACAAAAAACAAACAAACAAAAAAACCUUCAAAUAAAUCACAGUUAAUUUUUGAAAAAUCCAAUGUUAAAAUUUGAUGAUCAGAGUCAAGAAAAAUUGUGAAAGACUUGAAAAUUGACAAAAGUAAAGAUUAUUUUUCUCUGUUGCACUUUUCCAAGUUCUAUGCAGUGUUCACUGUCUUUGAACUAUUUUUCACUUUGCAAAUGGUAGAAAAUUGAUAAUGCCAGUAACUUGUCCGUGAAAAUGCAAAUAAAUUGUGUCUAGUGGAAUACACUUGAUACUUCCUCCAGUAAUACAACAUUUUGCUUAUAUUUGUGAAUCCAUUCAGCACCAGCAUUCCUUAUUGACCCUAUUCACCCAUCAAUCCCCCCAACCCCCACCCAUUCCAUCUUAAUCUAUCAUUUAUCUAUUUAUCUUCUGAAUUUUUCCUUUGAAACAAGUAAGACUAUUGAAUCAAAUAUGACUAUUUCUUGAAUUAAAUAAAAUCUGUGGUACAUUUUCAUCUUACAUUUGUGUGAGAGUCAUGUCUUCACUUUAUAAAAGAUUUCUCUUUUAACCUUCAGCUCAGAGUUAUUUUUCAAAACCUUGACUCUAACAAUGGCAUGUCCCUUAGUAACAACCACUUAUCUGUGGGAAGCCUGCAUGCUUAUCUUUCUGCUUUUGGGUGACAGAACUCACUGCCUUGAUAUGGGUGAUACAACUCCAAACUGUUAGAAAUUUUCCAACUUUAUUCAGAACCAAUUUUAGAGGUGAGGAAGACUGGUUUUGCUUGUAUUAAAAUCUGUAUGACUUUAUUUGCCACCUGUGAAAUUUGUUGGGUGAAAACCCAACCUCUGAAACACAGCUGAAUGUGACUAUUGAAAUUUUUGUUUUAUAUUAAAUGCUUUCUGUGAUUUAUGUGAUAAUGACUGUAAAUCCAUUGUGCCCAAGGAAGACAUUUCUCAGGAGCAAAAUGCAAACUCAGACAUACAUGAAAUACACUGUGCCAAGGAUCGAAGAACCAAAGGUGAUUUUUUUAUCUGAUUGCAAUUCUAAUAUGCAGUGGAUCAAGAUUUGAAAUGUUUAGGUACUUUAGCCUUGUUGCAGUACUUACUGACGCUCAUACAGUAUUCCCUGACUUUAUAGAUGUUACAUUUCAAGAAUAAUGUUGCUAUUCACCCAGCAUUUAUUGUCCAACUUACUGAUCUCCUUUGGAGCAAACAAUGACUUCACAGCCAAAUCACAUUUGACAGUGACUUCAGGAGAAGUGCAGGCUUAUGUAAUUCAAACAGAGAGUUUGUGCAGAAAACGUCUCAAGUCAGGGAAGAAAAAUGCCAGAACUUUGGGAAAACUCUUAAAAAUUCUGCUGAAAUGUGGCACUUGCAGCUUCUCAUAUUCCACUGGUCAAGCAAGUCACAGAGCCAAGAGUGACAUCAAUAAGACACAGAAGUAUAUAUAGUAAUGGUCAUAGAUACAGUAUCCUCUUCCAGGUCUGCAAAUAAUGGCAGCAAUAGGAAAUGCUUCAAUUCAUUUAUGUACUGAGAAUCUGAAAUGAAAAUCAACAUACAGGAAGAAUGACUUUUGCAUCCUAUCUAAGCCAUCACUUAUUUAAGAUGUUGAAAACAAUAUUUUCUUGCACUAAUGUGAGCAUGGUACUCCCUAAUUUAGGACUGAUUGUUUGGUGUCUCCUUGGCAAAAGAGGCUGUUGAGAAUACAACUAUUCAGGCUCCCAUGAACUCCUUAAAAGUGUCUGGAGCCCUGCAAGGAAUCAGAGGACCUGAAGAAACACCAGUGCCAAAGCUUUUGUGAGACUUACGCAGUCUGAAGCCAUGCACAUUCAGGUGAAGAAGUAUGAACUGAGCUGAUUUUAUUAUAUCAUGGUGCAAGCUAAGUAAUUGUGAUUUCCAAGUUACCAAGCAGGAAGCGAGUAUUUCUACUUGGAAAUCUCAGCCCUGAGACAGUGGCCAGUGAGUUUGACGACAGAUGAGCGAGUUCAACUGACUGACGUAAGACCCAGCUGAUGGUACCAGUUUUGAGUGGCUGCUGUGAAUGUGCAUGGAACUUGAGGCUUCACUGCCCCCAGCAAACACUUCCAUUCUUCCAAAGUUGUCUGCAGGAUUUGGGCUGCUGCUGUAUGAACACGACUGCAAAAUCAGACAUCAGAUGGAAGCAGUUCCCAGCCUCUACAGACAGAUGCUGAAUUAAUCUCCUACAAGAAUUGUGGUGGCACCUCUUGUGCAAUGAAGGCGAGCAGGAUACAUUACAAAUGAAAAGGAAGCAGACAACAUUGUUUUUACAGCAUAUCCAUCUGGCCCACCAGCACCUGCUAACCUCCGGCUGACCAACUCCACCGUCAACAGUGAUGGCAGUGUGACUGUCACUAUAGUUUGGGAUCUUCCCGAGGAGCUGGACAUCCCUGUGCAUCACUACAAGGUCUUUUGGAGCUGAACAGUCAGCAGAUCACUAUGUCCUAACAGUGCCCAAUCUGGGACUGUCUACUCUUUACCGACUGGAAGUGCAAGUGCUGACCCCAGGAGGGGAGGGGCUGGCCACCAUCAAGACGUUCCGAACACUGGAGCUUAUAAUUUAUGCUUAUAAUUUGAAGAAAACAAAAGCUAUCACAAUGGGAGAGUUUGAUAACUUCUAAAAUUUUUGUUGGAUAAAUGCUUUUCUGAUAUUCCUUCAUGGAAAUUCCAUUUAACAAAAGUUUUUGGUAAUUUUUAAGACUCUUUGAGCAAAUACAAAAGGAUUAUGGUUUGAUUAAAUAAUGGUGAGCUUAAAAAAAGAAGUUUGUCUUUUUUUGUUAUUGUUUUAUGGUUAGGGGAAAGCAUCAAGGAGGAAGAGUAAAACAGGAAAAGGAGAGAGUGUUUGUACAUUCAGAUUCAGAAUAGGAAAGACAUGAUCAUAGGAAGGAACAUCUGCCUGGGUCUUAUGUUUUCCAACAAAGAAAGGUAAUUCUGUCAUUUAUCUGAUAUGUUUAAAGGGAUGUGACUGAAAUAUUUUGUCACUUCUUAGGAUCCCAUCUUAAGCAUCAUCAUCCUCAUCAUUACAAGCCUUCUCCAGAAAAAUACUAAACUGUUCAAAAAGAUUUUUUGAAAUUACAUAGAUGUGUAAGCUUAUUGAACUUCGGCCAUGAGACAUGCACACUUCCAGAGGCAGUGGGAACUGCUCAGAGGUUCGUACUCUCCUAUGUGACUUUAGUGCAGGAAGAACUUCUGUCAAUCACGGAUGCAUCUGGAGACAAAUGUGAAACAGUAGAUUGGUGAAGACAGACACCAAUUCCUUACAAGCUUGGAGAAAAUGAAGAAUAGGCCUGUUUAACACUAAAUCUUGUUUUCUUGUAUAGUGUCACUCAUUUCUGUUGAAUUACAGCAUAAUUCAGUUUUACCUGAAUUUCUAGCACCAAACUUCCUUGCAAACAGUAGAGUAACAAAUACACAAUUCACACAUAACACUAACGAAGCAUAAAUCUAAUCAAUAAAAUAUAUUUUUGACUAAAUUAUUGAUUUGAUAUGAAAAAUCAACUAAGAUUAUAUAGCAUUGUUUAUUUGAAUUUUUCAUAAGAUCAUUUUUAUCGUGGGUUAAUAAGUUUAACCGUUUUAUCCAGGGUAACUGAAAAUGUGUAAUUUAAAACAUACCAGCUAAUUUAAAUAAUUAUUGCAUAAAUUUAACUUUAUAAAAUUUAAUUAUGUUUCUUCUGUCUGGAUAAUAGACAUUAGACAGGUAUUUCUAGUUAGGAUGGUAAUUAUGAAACUUACAUCUCCCUUAAAAAAUUCUAAAACAGCUCUUUUGGGCUUCUAAUUUCAAUAUAGUAUUUAAUAAUUUAAAUUUUAUUGGUGUUUUUAGAAGAAAAAUGCUAUUAAUGGGUAAUCGAAAUGUUUCUCUUAUGAAUUUUAAUAAGCUCCAUUAUUAUUCAAAUGAUCAAAAAUAUAGUUAUCUUUUUUGAAUUUGAAAAAUGUGAUUGCUCUAAUAAAGGAUAAAAAUCUGUUUUUUGACAAACAUAAUUUUGAGGCCUAGUUCUGUAAUAUGUAUUAUUGAAAUUAGAUACGUUUCUGUAAUGUGAGAAAAAUACAUCCUUUAAUUGUAUUGACUACUAAAAAAAUUGAGCUCAUCAAAAAUGUUGUCAUCAAAUACAGGUAACUUGAUAUACACUGCAGUUACAUACAUUAUUUUUAUUUACAACCUUUGCUCCUUUGGAUGAAUUUAUCUGUGUUACCCUGUUUUUCUACAUGAAACUCCAUAGAGUGAUGUUUGUAAACAAACAUGUACUCUUUUCAGUCUUUCACUCUUUUAACAUGAUAUGGUAGAAAAGAUAAAGUUUGUGGCAGGUAAUUUUUUAUAAUGUUUAUUAAAUGAAGUUCAAAGAUUAAAAAUACAUCUAUCUCCUGAAAACCUUAGACUCUAUACAGAGUUUCAUCACAACUCCAGACUAUUGACUUUUGGGGCUGGAUAGUUCUGUGUUGUGAAGAGUUGUCCAGUGCAUUGUAGGAUUUUAGUAGCAUCCGCAGUUUCUCCUCACCGGAUGCCAGUUGCACCCUCCCCAGGGUUGAGACAACCAAAAUGUCUCCAGAUAUUGUCAACUGCCUCCUGAUGGGAUGGUGACCCUGAUAGAAAACCAUUGCUAGAGAAUGAUCUUUACUGAAUAGAUAAGAAUUUGCCCUUUGCAAGAAACCCAGUAAAUUACUAGGGCAAGUCACCGAAAACUAAGAGACAGCUAAGAAGUUAUCAUGCUUGACUUCAAAGGCCUAAACUGUGUAUUUUAUGUCCACCAAACAACCUGAUUAAAAGACAGAAUUUUGACUUGUGUCCAUAUCAUAUAGAUUCAAAUACUAAUUUUGCUCUAUGUAUCUGUAAAUGUCAUUUGUGAUAUUGACUUAUUUAUAUAAUGCUCUUGCUUAUGUUGUGAGUUUUCAAGUUUACUCAUUUUUUUUGUUGCAAAUCACUCUUAAAACUUAUAAGCUUUCACAUUAUAAGCAGAACACAAAGGCUAUAUAUCUGCUGCAUGUACUUCAAAGUUUAUAAGAUAUAAACAGAUCUGCAAAGAUGUUGACUCUUUUCUAUGGUUUUGCAUGGUCAGACUCAGUGUCAGGUAUGGAGAGGAUUCUCAAGACUAUCUUACCUCUAUUGAAUAUUUUAGUGAGUUAUAUGAUUUACACAGUGAUUAACAGAGGUCUAUAUGAAAUUAUUUUACCCCUUUACUUAACUAUAUUGUAAUGUGCAGAUAAUAAAAUUUCUACCUUCUCAUCUAAAUGGUCUGUAGAAUUCAUGUCCCUUAGUCAUUUAAAGUCAAUAUUUAUUUAUGUGUGCAAUAAAAAAGUUUGAUUUUUGUGUAUAUCUGUCAUAUUAUUUAGAGAGAAGUGAUUUUGUAAAAAAUGUUUUGUAAAAAACAAAAAAAAGUAUUGUAAAUAGUGUUGAUAAUCUGUGACUCAUUAUUUUCAUGUUAGAAUUUGUACAUACGGUUCAGUAAUAAAGCAUCUUUAAACCAGA
Molecule: non-coding RNA, 7943 nt
Organism: Macaca mulatta (Rhesus monkey)
Lineage: Eukaryota; Metazoa; Chordata; Mammalia; Primates; Cercopithecidae
Source: RefSeq, a predicted model, not a curated record